Molecule: RNA transcript, 8641 nt
Organism: Alexandromys fortis (reed vole)
Lineage: Eukaryota; Metazoa; Chordata; Mammalia; Rodentia; Cricetidae
Gene: Pcsk5
Gene name: proprotein convertase subtilisin/kexin type 5
Exons: 39
Source: RefSeq, a predicted model, not a curated record
GGCGCCGGGACCAUGGGCUGGGGUUGGAGGAGCCGCUGCUGCUGCCUCGGGCGGCGGGACCUGCUCUGCGUGCUGGCGCUGCUCGCGGGCUGCCUGCUCCCAGUGUGCCGGACGCGCGUCUACACCAACCACUGGGCAGUGAAGAUCGCCGGCGGCUUCGCGGAGGCCGACCGCAUAGCCAGCAAGUACGGAUUUAUCAACGUAGGACAGAUCGGCGCACUGAAGGACUACUAUCACUUCUACCAUAGUAGGACCUUUAAACGGUCUGUUCUCUCGAGCAGAGGAACCCACAGUUUCAUCUCCAUGGAACCAAAGGUGGAGUGGAUCCAGCAGCAAGUGGUGAAAAAACGGACCAAGAGGGAUUACGACCUCAGCCGCGCCCAGUCCACCUACUUCAAUGAUCCCAAGUGGCCAAGCAUGUGGUACAUGCACUGCAGCGACAACACACAUCCCUGCCAGUCAGACAUGAAUAUUGAGGGAGCCUGGAAGCGAGGUUACACGGGGAAGAACAUCGUGGUGACUAUCCUGGAUGACGGCAUUGAGAGAACCCACCCUGAUCUGAUGCAAAACUAUGAUGCUCUGGCAAGUUGCGAUGUGAAUGGGAAUGACUUGGACCCGAUGCCUCGUUACGAUGCAAGCAAUGAGAACAAGCAUGGGACCCGUUGUGCUGGAGAAGUGGCAGCCGCUGCAAACAACUCUCACUGCACCGUUGGAAUCGCUUUCAACGCCAAGAUUGGAGGUGUGCGGAUGCUGGACGGCGAUGUCACAGACAUGGUGGAAGCGAAGUCUGUCAGCUACAACCCACAGCAUGUGCACAUCUACAGUGCCAGCUGGGGCCCGGAUGACGACGGCAAGACUGUGGAUGGGCCAGCUCCCCUCACCCGGCAAGCCUUUGAGAACGGUGUGAGAAUGGGGCGGAGAGGCCUUGGCUCUGUGUUUGUCUGGGCAUCUGGCAAUGGUGGAAGGAGCAAGGACCACUGCUCUUGUGAUGGUUACACCAACAGCAUCUACACCAUCUCCAUCAGCAGUACAGCUGAGAGUGGAAAGAAACCGUGGUACUUGGAAGAGUGUUCCUCUACACUGGCCACAACCUACAGCAGUGGAGAAUCCUAUGAUAAGAAAAUAAUCACUACUGAUCUAAGACAGCGGUGCACGGACAAUCAUACCGGGACGUCAGCCUCAGCCCCCAUGGCUGCUGGCAUCAUUGCCCUAGCCCUGGAAGCCAAUCCGUUUCUGACCUGGAGAGACGUACAGCAUGUUAUUGUCAGGACUUCCCGUGCGGGACAUUUGAACGCUAAUGACUGGAAAACCAAUGCUGCUGGUUUUAAGGUGAGCCAUCUCUAUGGAUUUGGACUGAUGGAUGCGGAAGCCAUGGUGAUGGAGGCAGAGAAGUGGACAACUGUUCCUCAGCAGCACGUGUGUGUGGAAAGCACGGACCGGCAAAUCAAGACCAUUCGCCCCAACAGUGCGGUGCGCUCCAUCUACAAAGCCUCGGGCUGCUCAGAUAAUCCCAACCAUCACGUCAACUACCUGGAGCACGUGGUUGUGCGUAUCACCAUCACGCACCCUCGGAGGGGAGACCUGGCCAUCUACCUGACCUCCCCCUCGGGAACCAGAUCCCAGCUUUUGGCCAACAGGCUCUUUGACCAUUCCAUGGAAGGGUUUAAGAACUGGGAGUUCAUGACCAUACAUUGCUGGGGAGAACGGGCUGCUGGUGACUGGAUCCUUGAAGUUUAUGAUACUCCAUCUCAGCUGAGGAACUUCAAGACUCCAGGUAAAUUGAAAGAAUGGUCCUUGGUCCUCUAUGGCACAUCUGUGCAGCCCUACUCCCCAACCAAUGAGUUUCCCAAGGUAGAGCGCUUCCGCUACAGCCGGGUGGAAGAUCCCACAGAUGACUAUGGUGCUGAAGAUUAUGCGGGUCCCUGUGAUGCUGAAUGCAGUGAGGUUGGCUGUGACGGGCCAGGACCAGACCACUGCAAUGACUGUUUACACUACUACUACAAGCUGAAAAAUAACACCAGAAUCUGUGUCUCCAGCUGCCCUCCUGGCCACUACCAUGCUGACAAGAAGAGGUGCCGGAAGUGUGCGCCCAACUGUGAGUCCUGCUUCGGCAGCCACGGUGAUCAGUGCCUAUCCUGUAAAUAUGGCUACUUUCUGAAUGAAGACACCAGCAGCUGUGUUACGCAGUGCCCUGAUGGGUCGUACCAGGAUACCAAGAAGAACGUUUGUGAGAAAUGCAGUGAGAACUGUAAGACGUGCACCGGAUUCCACAACUGCACCGAGUGCAAGGGCGGGUUAAGUCUUCAGGGAUCCCGCUGUUCGGUCACCUGUGAGGAUGGACAGUUCUUCAAUGGCCACGAUUGCCAGCCCUGUCACCGUUUCUGUGCUGCCUGUGCCGGGGCCGGAGCAGACGGGUGCAUUAACUGCACUGAGGGUUACGUCAUGGAAGAGGGGCGAUGUGUACAGAGCUGCAGUGUGAGUUACUAUUUGGACCAUAAUUCAGAUAGCGGAUACAAAUCUUGCAAGAGAUGUGACAACAGCUGUUUGACAUGCAGUGGCCCGGGCUUCAAGAACUGUUCCAGCUGCCCCAGUGGAUAUCUUUUAGACUUGGGAAUGUGUCAGAUGGGAGCCAUCUGCAAGGAUGGAGAAUAUAUGGAUGAGCAAGGCCACUGCCGUGCCUGUGAAGCCUCAUGUGCCACGUGCUCGGGACCCACUCAAGACGACUGUACCAGCUGCCCCAUAAUGAGGGUUUUUGAUGAUGGCCGCUGCAUGUUGAAUUGCCCCUCAUGGAAGUUUGAACUCAAGAAGCAAUGCCAUUCCUGCCACCACAGUUGCCAAGGAUGCCGAGGAAGAGGGCCUUCCAACUGUACCUCCUGCGGAGCAGACAAGCAUGGUCGGGAGCGCUUCCUGUACCAGGGAGAAUGUCGAGAGAGCUGCCCUGUGGGCCAUUAUCCUGCCAAGGGACAUGCCUGCCUGCCCUGCCCAGACAACUGUGAGCUUUGCUACAAUCCACAUGUCUGCAGUCGAUGUAUGAGAGGCUACUUCAUCGUGCCCACCAACCACACCUGCCAGAGGCUGGAAUGCGGACAAGGUGAAUUCCAGGAUUCUGAGUAUGAAGAAUGCAUGCCUUGUGAGGAAGGAUGUCUGGGAUGCACUGUGGAUGAUCCAGGAGCCUGUACCUCGUGCGCUGCAGGAUACUACAUGUUUGAGCGGCGUUGUUAUAAAGUCUGUCCUGAAAAGACCUUCAGUGCCGAAUGGGAGUGCAGAGCCUGUGGCCCCAACUGCGGCAACUGUGACCAGCAUGAGUGCCAUUGGUGUGAGGAGGGCUUCUUUCUCUCGGGUGGCAGCUGUGUGCAGGAUUGUGGCCCUGGCUUCUAUGGAGACCAAGAGUUGGGAGAAUGUCAGCCCUGCCACUGGGCCUGUGAGACUUGUACCGGCUUGGGCUACAACCAAUGCAGCAGCUGUCAAGAAGGAUUGCAGCUGUGGCACGGGGCGUGUGUCUGGCGCACAGGGCCCCAAGAGGGGGAAGGCAAUUUCCGGAACGAAGCUGUUCCCACUGAAAACCCAUCUAUGGUGAAGAACCUGCUGCAGGAGCAACGAAGGUGGAAAGUUCAAGUCAAAAGAGAUGCCACAAAGCAAUAUCAACCUUGCCAUUCUUCCUGUAAGACCUGCGAUGGAUCUGAAACUCUCUGCACUUCAUGUCCAGCAGGUACAUACCUGUGGCUGCAGACCUGUGUUCCCUCCUGUCCCCAAGGCACAUGGCCGUCGCUCAGGAGCGGCAGCUGCGAGAACUGUGCUGAAGACUGUGCCUCCUGCACUGGGGCUGACCUUUGCCAGAAGUGCCUAAGUCAGCCGGACAACCUUCUGCUCCUCCAUGAGGGCCGCUGCUACCACAGUUGCCCGGAGGGCUUCUACGCACAAGACGGGAUUUGUGAACACUGCAGUUUCCCAUGCAGAACGUGUGAGGGAAAUGCUACCAACUGUCACUCUUGUGAAGGAGACUUUGUCCUAGACCACGGGGUAUGCUUGAAAACUUGUCCUGAAAAGCAUGUGGCCAUGGAAGGUGUCUGCAAACACUGCCCAGAAAAUUGCCAGGACUGCAUCCACGAGGAAACUUGCAAAGAGUGCGUGCCCAACUUCUUCCUGCACGAGGACACUUGCCGUCCCUCCUGUCCCAAGCACUUUUAUCCUGACUUGGGCCAGUGUGUCUCCUGCCAUAAAAACUGUCUGGAGUGCAAUGGCCCCAAGGAAGAUGACUGUGUGGGCUGCGCUGAUUCUUCCAAGGUUCUCUCCAAUGGGCUGUGUCUGGACGUGUGCCCCGAGGGAACCUACAAAGACGAGGGGACUGACAAAUGCGAAGAUUGCCCUGAGUUCUGCCGGAUCUGCUCAUCAGAAUGGACCUGCCUGGCUUGUCAGGAAGGCCUGACGAUCGUGAAUGAGGUCUGCACAGCGCCCGAGGAGUGUGCAGCUGUCGAGUACUGGGAUGAGGGCACUCACAGGUGCCAGCCAUGUCACAGGAAGUGCUCCCGCUGCUCAGGGCCUGCCGAGGACCAGUGCUAUACCUGCCCUAGAGAGACUCUUCUUCUCAACACGACCUGUGUUAAAAGCUGCCCAGAGGGCUACCACACUGACAAGGACAGCGGCCGGUGUGUGCCCUGCCACUACUCCUGCAGGACCUGUGAAGGACCCCACAGCAUGCAAUGCCACUCCUGCCGACCUGGCUGGUUCCAGCUGGGCAAAGAGUGCUUGCUGCAAUGUAGGGAUGGAUAUUAUGGAGAAAGCACCAGUGGUCGGUGUGAGAAGUGUGACAAGAGCUGCAAGGCAUGCCGGGGCCCGCGGCCCACAGACUGCCAGGCUUGCGAUACAUAUUUCUUUCUCCUGCGCUCCAAGGGCCAGUGUCACCGCACCUGCCCAGAGCACUACUACGCAGACCAACAGGCGCAGACCUGUGAGAGGUGCCACCCAACGUGUGACAAAUGUAACGGAAAGGGGGUAUGGAAUUGCUUGUCCUGUGUGUGGAACUACCACCUUCUGAGAGGAAUGUGUGCCUUGGACUGUCCUGUAGGGGAAUACAGAGAUGGAGAGGGAGAAAAGUUUAGCUGUAAAAAAUGCCAUGAGAGCUGCAUAGAGUGCAAGGGACCCGGAGCCAAGAACUGCACUGUGUGCUCAACCGGCCUGCUGCUGAACAUGGACGACAGCCGCUGCCUCCGCUGCUGCAACACUUCCCACCCCCUCGGCUCUCAGGACUGCUGUGACUGCCAGAGUACCACAGAAGAGUGCAUCCUUCCAGCCAGUGAGGCUGCACCCUUGGAGCGCGCCAAGAUCGCUUUGCUGGUGGCCUCGGGUGUUAUGCUGCUGCUGCUGUUGGGGGCCGCUGUGCUCGUGUGGCGGAAGUCUCGAAGCCCACCUGUGGCAAAGGGGCGCUACGAAAAGUUGGUGGAACCCACCGUGUCGUACUCCUCCUACAGACGCAGCUAUAUUGAGGAGGACCAGGUGAUUGAGUACAGGGACAGGGACUAUGAUGAAGAUGAUGAGGAUGACAUCGUCUACAUGGGCCAAGAUGGCACUGUCUACCGGAAGUUCAAGUACGGGCUGCUGGACGGGGAAGAAGAUGAUGAGUUGGAGUAUGACGAUGAGAGCUAUUCCUACCAGUAAUCAAAGCCUAGUGGUCCCCACGGCUCUCAGCCCUGCUGGGAGAUACCGUCACGUUGACUGAGGUUCGAGUGUUUGUGCUUUGUCCUAACUUUGUUUCCAACCUGAAUAAACAGGGAUGCUGGAGUCUGCUGUGCUGCCUUUGACCAACUGAGUGCAAAGAACAGAUCCUGCAGAGGGAGAAUUCAAAGGCACUUUCCUGGAGGGUAUGUCAAGACGUUAAACGCAGAAAGUGGAAGGAAGUCAGAUCCAUUAAACACCAACAUGAUUCCUAAAAUGGUCGGGGCAGAGGACCCAUAAGGACUCUGUUUUCAAGCUGCUUGUUGGAGACCCCUGCUACCUUCUGGAAAUCUGCUAUUUGACUAGUGGGGAGACGGAGUAACAGAGAGUUCUUGGGUUGGGUAGGAGGUCUCUUCCUUUUUGAUUGUGUUUAAGAAGAAAAUUUGUAAAGAUCAGGAAAAUAGGGCUUGUAAUUUCUUUCACAGUACUUCCAGGGGAGCCGAAAAGACCAUCUCUCCUGCCAAUGCUCAGGACCCAGAUAAAAUGAAAGGAUUGGUGUGGUCUCAUAGCUGAGAGAGCUCAUACUCACUGAGCUCUGGCUCCUUUGUAGAAGCCCAGAACCGUACCGACCACUGGCAAAGGAAGUUUAGGUAGAGGGCAGGCAGUAUCAAGUCCACAAGGAAGGAAAUUGUUCCCAAGCUUCGCACCCUGGUAAUUUUCUAAGGAUCUUUUUGAUAGGAAGUAAUACAAGAACAUGGUAAUGGCAACUUAGCACAAAAUACAAUAAUUUCAUCCACUCUAAAAAAAAUUGAAAGAUGUUAGCUGCUAAAUCCGUGCACAGCUUUCACCAAUGAGUCAUCCAAAAAGCCUGGACUCUCCUUAAGAAAAGCUGGGGUAGAGUCUACCAUUUACAAACUUUCCGACACGGCGCUCACUGGCUGCAGGCAAGCUGCAAGCAUCUGCCUAGCUCUCUUCAGUCCGUGACUUUUUGUUUCUGGGUCUCCAAAACUUUUCUUGCACUCUGGUCAAGGUGUUCUUAGAUUAUGCAGCUGUGGGCACUUUCUGCAGAUGAGAAUUCACAGGGUGGGCACUGACUGCAGAAAGACACGGGAAGAGCCUCAUGGAGCUCCUUGUGGCGGGCAACACUGUGUGCGGAACAGCAAAAGUGCACCGUGAGAGGGUGAUAGUCUAAUAAGAACUGCACGCUUACUGUGGACCAGAUACCAACCUAACUAAGGUAUCUCGCCCACUUCAUCCUUAACAACUCUACCAGAUGAUGCCAUCCACCCCUUGUUUUUAUAGGAAAUCUGAGGCUUCCAAAAGGCUAAGCCAUUAGUUCAAAGUCACAGACAGCUGAUCAAAAUUCAAGAAAUAAGAAUGACCUUGAAGCAUUAUUCUUAAUAACUGUGCUCCACUGGCAGUGUGAAAACAAACAUCCUAGACAUAAUAAAACUAGGUCUAUUAUUUUAUUCUGUGACAGUUAUCCCACACACUAUAGUAACAUAUGUGGAUGUGAAUAUGGGAAACCCCUAUGCUUGUGUUUCUUUAGAGAAAAGCCCUCAGAACAGAGACCACUAAACAACCAGGUUUCUCCCCAGGCUUUUUGAGCAAAAAGAAAGAAAAAGAAAAAACUCUAUUGUUAUUGUGCAAACUACCAUGGGAACAUCCUUGGAAUCAGUAAAAUAUUAAUGAGUAAACUGGGCUCCAGCAAAACUUUAUUUAGGGACACUUAUUAUCUGAAUUUCAGACCAUAUAAAUUUCAGACCAUAUAAAUUUCAGACAUAUGAAGUAACAUCCUUUUGAUGGCCAUUUAAAAACAUGGUAACUCUGAAGUCUAGCUUCAGACUCUUCAGGCUCCGUGAGUACCACAUACACAUAGGAUCCCGUUCACAAUUUUUGCUCAUUUAAAAUGAUCUCUUCCAAAUCCAUUUGAUUACCAUCAUAUCAGUAGGAGAAUUCAUCAUUUCUUGCUGUGUAAUUCCAGAGUUCAACUAUAGAAACAAAUCAUUUAUAUUUAUGUAUCAUUCAUAUUCCUUGAGAAUGUAGAAACAGACUGAUCUGCUCUCAAGUAGCCUUAAAUUUUUUCCAAGAAAAAUAUCUGUUUGUGAUAAUGUACACUCUUAUAAGACGACUCGAAAUACUAAGAAAAAAAAUGGUGUUGUUACUCUUUAUGAUCCACAAGAAAAGGAACCUUGUGCCUGUGUGUGAUGAAGACUGGAUGCUUACCCAGUCCCCGUCUGUGUACUCAUGAUAUGUUCUUCUCAAACUUCCUUUGAAUUCUGUCUAACAACUGCCUUAAUGGAUAAAUAUGUGGUUGAAAAACAGUUCUCAGUUUUCUGCUUGCAAGAAAUUCGAAAAUGUUAAGACUGAAAAUACACCAGGAGACUGGGUAAAAGUCCAGAAGAUUCUGGCUCCCUGAAAGGAAUUUUAAUUGGAAACAAAGUGAAAUCAAGAACAGAUUAUUCUACAGAGACUUGCUUAUUAGCAAACUGUUUCUGGGCAUUUUGUGUACAUAGUAUUAUGCUGUACCAAAUAAUAGAUGCAAAACAGUAGGCAUUCCGGGUUGUGUCUGUUUUAAUCCAUCUCCGCCCAAUGCUGAACAAGUUUUACCAUUGAUGAAUUUCCUCCCCAACAGAUCAGUCCAGUCCAUCUUUCGGCUCCAUUACUACAGUCUUGUCCCUCUUAUUACUGAAUUUCAAUCUCUAUUUUUUUUUUCUCACUCUGGCUAGCAAAAGUCAUUUGCAGGUAGAAUACUGAUGCGGGCUAUAAUUUCAGCACUUGGGGAACUGAAAACCAAGAGAUAGAGCAUCAGGUCGGCGAGAAAGGGAGACAGAGACAGAGUCAGAGAGACCCCAGGAGAUGAUUCGGGAUAAAAGCUCCUGUACAGGCCUGACCAGGGUGGAUGGAGAAAAUGCCUCCUGAAAGUUGUCUCUGACCCACACAUGCACACACUCAGGCAGUAGUAAAAGAGCAGCCUUAAGCCAGGCAC